RNAcentral lists this ribosomal RNA (301 nucleotides) under uncultured bacterium. Its description in RNAcentral is "partial 16S ribosomal RNA". It matches the Rfam family "Bacterial small subunit ribosomal RNA", at positions 509 to 809 of the family's 1533-position model. The record is from RNAcentral.
CAGCAGCCGCGGGAAUACAGAGGGUGCGAGCGUUAAUCGGAUUUACUGGGCGUAAAGCGCGCGUAGGUGGUUCAUUAAGUUGGAUGUGAAAGCCCUGGGCUCAACCUGGGAACUGCAUCCAAAACUGGUGAGCUAGAGUACGGUAGAGGGUAGUGGAAUUUCCUGUGUAGCGGUGAAAUGCGUAGAUAUAGGAAGGAACACCAGUGGCGAAGGCGACUACCUGGACUGAUACUGACACUGAGGUGCGAAAGCGUGGGGAGCAAACAGGAUUAGAUACCCGCGUAGUCCCUGUCUCUUAUAU